GAUGACGCCGCGGCCCAGAUUUCCGAGGGCGACCCGAAAGAUCCCGUCUAUUGGUCUGGCAUCUCCCGCGCUUCUUGGAAUUUAAUUACUGAGUUGCAGAGCCGGGCCCCUCCCUGUUGAAACCUGUCUGCCAAUCAGUUCAGGUCAGGCAAACUGACCAUUUUAGGAAGCAGCGUUGGGGACUGGGAUUUUAGCUUAAGCAUGUCACCAUGGUUUGUUGUCUGCAAAACCGGUAAGAGCGCACAACGGAUGUUGCUUUGAAUCCAGACUGCUCACCUCUCUAGAGGUGUUGGCUCACGCCCUUAAUCCCAGCACUCAGGGUGGGAAGUUGAGGCAAGCGGAUC
Non-coding RNA from Cricetulus griseus (Chinese hamster), 344 nucleotides. The record is from RefSeq and is a predicted model, not a curated record. Lineage: Eukaryota; Metazoa; Chordata; Mammalia; Rodentia; Cricetidae.